This 580-nucleotide ribosomal RNA is filed under the name uncultured bacterium. RNAcentral describes it as "bacterial SSU rRNA". It matches the Rfam family "Bacterial small subunit ribosomal RNA", at positions 102 to 669 of the family's 1533-position model. The record is from RNAcentral.
ACGGGUGAGUAACACGUAGGCAACCUGCCCUCAAGUUUGGGACAACUACCGGAAACGGUAGCUAAUACCGAAUAGUUGUUUUCUUCGCCUGAAGGAAACUGGAAAGAUGGAGCAAUCUGUCACUUGGGGAUGGGCCUGCGGCGCAUUAGCUAGUUGGUGGGGUAACGGCUCACCAAGGCGACGAUGCGUAGCCGACCUGAGAGGGUGAUCGGCCACACUGGGACUGAGACACGGCCCAGACUCCUACGGGAGGCAGCAGUAGGGAAUCUUCCGCAAUGGGCGAAAGCCUGACGGAGCAAUGCCGCGUGAGUGAUGAAGGUUUUCGGAUCGUAAAGCUCUGUUGCCAGGGAAGAACGCUUGGGAGAGUAACUGCUCUCAAGGUGACGGUACCUGAGAAGAAAGCCCCGGCUAACUACGUGCCAGCAGCCGCGGUAAUACGUAGGGGGCAAGCGUUGUCCGGAAUUAUUGGGCGUAAAGCGCGCGCAGGCGGUCAUUUAAGUCUGGUGUUUAAUCCCGGGGCUCAACCCCGGAUCGCACUGGAAACUGGGUGACUUGAGUGCAGAAGAGGAGAGUGGAAUUC